This 497-nucleotide ribosomal RNA is filed under the name uncultured bacterium. Its description in RNAcentral is "partial 16S ribosomal RNA". It matches the Rfam family "Bacterial small subunit ribosomal RNA", at positions 28 to 507 of the family's 1533-position model. The record is from RNAcentral.
GAUGAACGCUGGCGGCGUGCCUAAUACAUGCAAGUCGAGCGAACGGACGAGAAGCUUGCUUCUCUGAUGUUAGCGGCGGACGGUUGAGUAACACGUGGAUAACCUACCUAUAAGACUGGGAUAACUUCGGGAAACCGUAGCUAAUACCUGAUAAUAUUUUGAACCUCAUGGUUCAAAAGUGAAAGACGGUCUUGCUGUCACUUAUAGAUGGAUCCGCGCUGCAUUAGCUAGUUGGUAAGGUAACGGCUUACCAAGGCAACGAUGCAUAGCCGACCUGAGAGGGUGAUCGGCCACACGGGAACUGAGACACGGUCCAGACUCCUACGGGAGGCAGAAGUAGGGAAUCUUCCGCAAUGGGCGAAAGCCUGACGGAGCAACGCCGCGUGAGUGAUGAAGGUCUUCGGAUCGUAAAACUCUGUUAUUAGGGAAGAACAGAUGUGUAAGUAACUGUGCACAUCUUGACGGUACCUAAUCAGAAAGCCACGGCUAACUACGUG